RNAcentral lists this ribosomal RNA (352 nucleotides) under uncultured bacterium. RNAcentral describes it as "bacterial SSU rRNA". It matches the Rfam family "Bacterial small subunit ribosomal RNA", at positions 96 to 432 of the family's 1533-position model. The record is from RNAcentral.
CGGCGAACGGGUGCGUAACACGUGGAUAUUCUCCCUCGGUGCCGGGAUAACUGCCGAAAGGCUUUGUUAAUCCCGGAUGAGCCCACGGGAGCUUCGGCUCCAGGGGGAAAAGGCGGCCUCUGCAUGCAAGCUGUCACACCGGGAUGAGUCCGCGGCCCCUCCGCUAGUUGGCGGGGUAAAAGCCCACCAAGGCGACGUCGGGUAGCUGGUCUGAGCGGUUGUUCAGCACACACUGGAACUGAGGCGCGGUCCAGACUCCUACGGGAGGCAGCAGUGGGGAAUCUUGCGCAAUGGGCGAAAGCCUGACGCAGCAACGCCGCGUGUGUGAUGAAGGUCUUCGGAUCGUAAAGCA